RNAcentral lists this ribosomal RNA (497 nucleotides) under uncultured bacterium. RNAcentral's name for it is "partial 16S ribosomal RNA". It matches the Rfam family "Bacterial small subunit ribosomal RNA", at positions 28 to 507 of the family's 1533-position model. The record is from RNAcentral.
GAUGAACGCUGGCGGCGUGCCUAAUACAUGCAAGUCGAGCGAACAGACGAGGAGCUUGCUCCUUCGACGUUAGCGGCGGACGGGUGAGUAACACGUAGGUAACCUACCUAUAAGACUGGGAUAACUUCGGGAAACCGGAGCUAAUACCGGAUAAUAUUUCGAACCGCAUGGUUCGAUAGUGAAAGAUGGCUUUGCUAACACUUAUAGAUGGACCUGCGCCGUAUUAGCUAGUUGGUAAGGUAACGGCUUACCAAGGCAACGAUACGUAGCCGACCUGAGAGGGUGAUCGGCCACACUGGAACUGAGACACGGUCCAGACUCCUACGGGAGGCAGCAGUAGGGAAUCUUCCGCAAAGGGCGAAAGCCUGACGGAGCAACGCCGCGUGAGUGAUGAAGGUCUUCGGAUCGUAAAACUCUGUUAUUAGGGAAGAACAAACGUGUAAGUAACUGUGCACGUCUUGACGGUACCUAAUCAGAAAGCCACGGCUAACUACGUG